CUGGUUUAUAGUUAACUGAAUUCAGACAUUAACAAGGUUGGAACUCCCCAGGAUUUCAAAUUUCCAUAAAUGAGAUCAUUUGUGCAAAUCUGUGAGAGGGAAAACCUAGCUGAAUUUGUUGCCAUUGCAAACUCUUUCUCUUGGUUUCUGAAAUGUAAACUUGAUAAAAUUUUCAGGGUAAAGUCUAUUAGCUUUUCGGUUGGGAGUACAGGAAACCAGACAGGGCUUCACUGGCUUGUCCAUAUAACCCUAUAGCCAAAACGGAUGGUAAGGAAAAGUAAUUGAAUGUCUAAUAUUGUUUUCACAAUUAAUGAAUAUUAAGCAUAUUAUGUUCAUUUCAAUAAAGUUUUUCUUUUUCAAAUAAAUCUUCCAUUCUCAAGCUCUAAAUUUAUAAAAACCUCCAGGAAAUGUAAGGUGUAGAAUAGUAUGUAACUUUACAAAACAAAGGGAGUCAGAAUAGUACAUGGGAGUGCUAGGCAAACAAAUAUCGUGAACCACAAUAUUCGUCGAAAGAGGGGGAAAAAAUAAGAAAAGGAAUAAAGAAAGAAAUCAACUCAAUGUUUUUAACUGUGAAAAGGAACUCUCACAUUUGGAAAGAUAUGAACAGGAAGUGGUGGUAACAGGGGUAUCACUAAACUCAUCUAGAAGCAAAGUUGUAUCAGCAGCAAACUAUGAUCUCCUCACUCCUGAGGACCUACUUUGAUAUCCUUUAAUAAUGUGAAUAAGAAUGGGCAUGAAUGGUUCCCAUGCUUAACACCUUAUUGUCUUAUAAACCAAGUAUUAGCCUCAUCAUUUACAACCACAGGAAUAUGGCACUUCAAACUUGAGAGGCAUUAUAUCCUAUCAAUCGAGCACUUUCUUUGAGAAACCAUGCCUUACAUGCGCGCCUUUGCUCUAUUUUAUUGAAUAGGCUUUGUACAAUAUCUUUGCAGGGUGGUUGUGUAUUAAGAGAUUACCAAAAAAAUUUGCCAAGGGGAAACUUGUCCCAUGCCAUAAUUGUUAAUCACAUAUAUCUGGUUUAACUAAUCACAGCUCGUACCCGCUGCCGAUCAUCCUAAAUCCUAAAUUCUAUACUCUAAAUUGGUUUUACUUUGUUUCACUUUCAAAAAUAUUUUUUAGUUGAGUUUUGGAUGCUUUUAUUGUUUUUAGUUUUGAAUGUUUCUUUUUAAUAAUCAAUUGUUGGCUCCCCAUACUUUCUCUACUAUCACCCUUUAGACCCUAGAUACAAGAGAAUUUUGCCAGUUAAUCUGCCUUUUGUUGUUUCACUUGUUUGUCCGAAUAAUGUAUAGCUUAGUUUUUGUUCUGCUUAUCCUGUAUUUCAUCAAAUCGACACUUGAAAAUUUUCUGUGUUCUCGGCUUCCCAGUUAAGCAUGCCAAUGUCCAUUUCUGGAGUUGGAGUGUCUCUUUAGUUUUACUUCUCAGGUGUAUCUGCUUCAUAAGACCCUCGAUGAUGUGUUCUGCUUUGCAUGUCUGCAUUGUGUACUCCUGCAUAAUGUGUGCCUCAACACUUGUGACUCUUACAAAACCAUGUUGAUCGUUUGAUGUUUCAAACUGCAUUCAUAUAUAAAUACUAAGUAGCAUAAAUGCUAAUUUUUUAGCAGGUUGAGGUAGAUUCUAUGCUUGGUCAUGUAGAACCUGUUAAGCCUGGAGGAGCAGAUGUCAAGAGGACUAAUCUGAGAAUAUGGGAAAAGUAUGAUCCAAAUGGUUUGUGUAAUUGCGUCCACAAGUUCUAUUACCAUUAUCACGACACUCCUUCCACUUCAAAAUAAAUAUUAAUUUGAACAAAGUGACACAUUAAAAUAUCAGUGUACCCAGAUAAGAUCAAUGAUGUUUUAAAGUGUCAUUUACAUCUGAAUUAACAGAGAUUUUGAAACGAACGGAAUAAAAAUAUAUGAAGUGUCGGCUAUAAUGUUAUUUGUAAAUAUGACAUUAUUGAUGGGAAUCCAAAGUUCUAUGUAUCUUGAAAAUGAAAAACUUUGCCCUGUAUGAAGUAAAUAAUGAAUAUGAAUAUGCAAUCUCCAAAAAAGUUUCUGUGCAGAAAGUGCUGCAUGAGAAGCAGCAAUGUCAAUCUUGUCUUGAUGAUAAAAGA
RNAcentral lists this long non-coding RNA (2089 nucleotides) under Arachis ipaensis. Its description in RNAcentral is "long non-coding RNA (AIPA_LNC001479)". Lineage: Eukaryota; Viridiplantae; Streptophyta; Magnoliopsida; Fabales; Fabaceae. The record is from RNAcentral.